This 801-nucleotide long non-coding RNA is filed under the name Mytilus galloprovincialis (Mediterranean mussel). The record is from RNAcentral. Lineage: Eukaryota; Metazoa; Mollusca; Bivalvia; Mytilida; Mytilidae.
GGUAUUUGAAAAUUAGUGAAAAUAAGCCAAAAUCAAAAUUUAAAAUAUGACCUUGACCUUUAACCUUGGCCUCAUUUUCAUUUUUUUUGGACCAAGGACCUCAAAUCUGAAGACCCUAGGUCUCUAUCCCUUAUGGUUUACUAGUUAGAAAUGCAUAUAACUUGAAUCAAAUGAAAAAGGGGGAAUAACUCUCAUAUGGAGUCUCCGUAAAGCUUAGGUCCAAAUGAAUAUCCUAAUCUUUAAGAUGUAAUGAGCAAUUUGGUAAAAUAAAUUUGUCGUACUUUUUUACGGUUGCGAAGGAGUAGUGGCCACAAGAAAAACAGUGUUUGGGGAGAUAACUCUUACAACGUAAAGUAUUUUGUUACGCUGUUGUAAAUUUUUAAAGCGUAUAAACUAUACGAUAUCAUGUUUCAAAUAUCAAAGCGACAUCUUUUGAAACAUCAAUAUUACGCAAGAAGAAAAAUUAGGCGGAAGAAAAAAAAAAAAAAAAAUAAUAAUAAUAAUAAUAAUCAGAAGAAAUCCAAUAGGUCUUUCCACGGAAAGGUGGAAAGACCUAAUAAUCAGAACAAAUUCAAUAGGUCUUUCCACGGAAAAGUGGAAAGACCUAAUAAUAAUAAUCAGAACAAAUUCAAUAGGUCUUUCCACGGAAAGGUGGAAAGACCUAAUAAUAAUAAUAAUAAUAAUAAUCAGAACAAACCCUAUAGGUCUUUCACCUGAAAGGUUGAAAGACCUAAUAAUAAUCAGAACAAAUACAAUAGGUCUUUCAACAGAAAGGUUGAAAGACCUAAUAAUGUCAACCAG